AUACGGAGGGUGCGAGCGUUAAUCGGAAUUACUGGGCGUAAAGCGUGCGUAGGCGGUUUGCUAAGUCAGAUGUGAAAGCCCCGGGCUUAACCUGGGAACUGCAUUUGAUACUGGCAGACUAGAGUAUGAUAGAGGGGGGUAGAAUUCCUGGUGUAGCAGUGAAAUGCGUAGAUAUCAGGAGGAAUACCAGUGGCGAAGGCGGCCCCCUGGAUCAAUACUGACGCUGAGGUACGAAAGCGUGGGGAGCGAACAGGAGUAGAUACCCUAGUAGUCC
Molecule: ribosomal RNA, 274 nt
Filed under: uncultured bacterium
Lineage: Bacteria
Description: partial 16S ribosomal RNA
Rfam family: Bacterial small subunit ribosomal RNA
Source: RNAcentral